AUGAAGAGCUUCUCAUAUGCUGAUCUAGCCAAAGCGACAAAUGGUUUCUCUCCAGACAAUUUGGUUGGCUCAGGGGCAUACGGAUCAGUAUACAAGGGUGUACUUGAGUGUGAAACAAAUGGAAUGAUUGCUGUCAAAGUUUUCAACCUUGACCAACUUGGAGCACCAAAAAGCUUUGUUGCCGAGUGUGAGGCCUUCAGAAACACUCGUCAUCAUAAUCUUGUAAGGGUGAUUUCUGCAUGCUCAACAUGGGACAACAAGGGGAAUGAUUUCAAGGCUCUUAUUAUUGAAUACAUGGCUAAUGGCACCCUAGAGAGCUGGAUUUAUUCAGAAACAAGAAGACCGUUGAGUUUGGGCUCCAGAUUAACAAUAGCAGUGGACAUAGCUGCUGCACUGGAUUAUUUACAUGACAGUUGUGUGCCCCCUAUAGUCCACUGUGAUUUGAAGCCUAGCAAUGUGCUUUUAGAUGAUGCCAUGGGUGCCCGUCUCAGUGACUUUGGGUUAGCUAAGUUCCUUCAAAGUCAUAACUCUUCAAAUACUAUUACUUGUACAAGCUUAGCAGGACCGAGAGGAUCAAUUGGAUACAUUGCACCAGAGUAUGGCAUCGGGAACAUGAUCUCAACAGCGGGCGAUGUCUACAGCUAUGGAAUUGUCAUCCUAGAAAUGCUCACGGGGAAAUGGCCAACAGAUGUAUUGUUCAAGAAUGGCCUGAGCCUUCAGAAAUUCGUGGGAAAUGCAUUCCCCGAAAAGAUCUGUGAGAUACUUGAUCCUAAUAUCAUCGGAGACGAAGUUGUGGACCAUGGAAAUCAUGCAAUGGUGGGGAUGUUGAGCUGCAUUAUGCAGCUUGUUCAGCUUGGUCUCUCAUGCUCCACGGAGACACCAAAAGACCGACCGACAAUGCCGGACGUCUAUGCAGAAGUCUCCGCAAUCAAACGAGAAUAUUCAGCAUUGCGUGUCAAGGAAUAG
This 966-nucleotide ribosomal RNA is filed under the name Triticum aestivum (bread wheat). Its description in RNAcentral is "partial small subunit ribosomal RNA". The record is from RNAcentral. Lineage: Eukaryota; Viridiplantae; Streptophyta; Magnoliopsida; Poales; Poaceae.